This 71-nucleotide transfer RNA is filed under the name Camelus bactrianus (Bactrian camel). It matches the Rfam family "tRNA". Rfam says of the family: Transfer RNA (tRNA) molecules are approximately 80 nucleotides in length. Their secondary structure includes four short double-helical elements and three loops (D, anti-codon, and T loops). RNAcentral also lists the same sequence under 2 other names. The record is from Rfam by way of RNAcentral. Lineage: Eukaryota; Metazoa; Chordata; Mammalia; Artiodactyla; Camelidae.
GAGGGCAUAGCUCAGUGGUAGAGUGUGUGCUAGGCAUGCACAAGGUCCUGAGUUCAAUUCCUAGUCCCUCU